Molecule: ribosomal RNA, 443 nt
Filed under: Peptostreptococcaceae bacterium canine oral taxon 168
Lineage: Bacteria; Bacillati; Bacillota; Clostridia; Peptostreptococcales; Peptostreptococcaceae
Description: bacterial SSU rRNA
Rfam family: Bacterial small subunit ribosomal RNA
Source: RNAcentral
GAGUUUGAUUCUGGCUCAGGAUGAACGCUGGCGGCGUGCCUAAUACAUGCAAGUCGAGCGAGACUUUCAUAAGUGGAGACUUCGGUCAAAGCGAGUGAAAGGAAAGCGGCGGACGGGUGAGUAAUGCGUGGGUAACCUGCCCUUUGGAGAGGGAUAGCAGUUGGAAACGGCUAUUAAUACCUCAUAAGCGCACAGUUUCGCAUGAAGCAGUGUGAAAAGAUUUAUCGCCAAAGGAUGGACCCAUGUCCGAUUAGUUAGUUGGUGAGGUAACGGCUCACCAAGACCGCGAUCGGUAGCCGACCUGAGAGGGUGAUCGGCCACAUUGGGACUGAGACACGGCCCAAACUCCUACGGGAGGCAGCAGUAGGGAAUAUUGCACAAUGGGGGAAACCCUGAUGCAGCAACGCCGCGUGAACGAUGAAGGAUUUCGAUCUGUAAAGUUC